AGGGGGAAAAAUUAAUUAAUAAAUAAAUAAUAAAAGAAUUUUUAAUAAAAAAUAAUUUAAUGGGGGUUAAAGUAUUUUUUAUAGAAAAAAUUAAAAUAUUGAUAGUAAAUUAGUAUUGUAAAAGAAUUUCGAAAUAAUUGAAAAUUAAAUUGGGGGAAAGUAGAUUUAAUUUAUCAUAUCUUGGGUAUCAGAGUUUAUUAAUAAUAGGGUUUAGUUAAAAAGUUCUCGAAUUUAAUAGAGUUAAUUAAUUAUAAAAGUUAAUGUAGAAUAAUUAUUUUAAAUAGUUAAUUGGAAAUGAAAUGUUAAUCGUUAUUAAAUAUAUCUAGUUUUUUUAGAAAAAAAUUUAAUUUUAAAUAUAAUAUUCAAAAUUUUAAUUAAUUAAAAUUUUGAAUAUUAUAUUAAAUAUUUUAAGGGAUAAGCUUUAAAGUAAAUUUUUAUAAUAUUAUUUUAUUUUUAUUAAAAAUUUUAGAAUUUAAAUUGUUUUAUUAAUAUCUUCUAAUAUAGCAGCUCCCCCCUCUAUAAAUUUAAUAGGGGAAAUUAGAUUAAUUAAUGGGGUUGUUAGAUGAUCUUAUUUAUCNNAAGUAAAAUUAAUUAUAAUGAUAAAAUUAGUAUAUAAAUAAUUUAAUAUUUAUUAUUUUAUGAAAAAUUAAGAAGAGGAAUUCGGCAAAAAUUUAUAUUCACUUGUUUAUCAAAAACAUGUCUUUUUGAUAAUAAUUUAAAGUUUAAUCUGCCCACUGAUAUAAAAUUAAAGGGCUGCAGUAUUUUGACUGUACAAAGGUAGCAUAAUCAAUAGUCUUUUAAUUGAUGACUUGUAUGAAAGAUUGGAUGAAAUAUAAACUGUCUUUUUUUAAUUUAUGAAAUUUAAUUUUUUAGUCAAAAAGCUAAAAUAAAUUUAAAAGACGAGAAGACCCUAUAGAGUUUAAUAAUUUAUUUAAUUAUUAUUUUUAUGGUUAUUUUUAUUAAAAAUAUUAAAUAAAUUAUUUUAUUGGGGUGAUAGAAAAAUUAAAAAAACUUUUUUUAUAAUUAUACAUAAAUAAAUGAGUAAAUGAUCCAUUAAUAAUGAUUAUAAGAAAAAAUUACCUUAGGGAUAACAGCGUAAUUUUUUUUUUUAGUACAAAUAAGAAAAAGAGUUUGCGACCUCGAUGUUGGAUUAAGAUAAAAUUUAAACGCAAAAGUUUAAAAUUUUGAUCUGUUCGAUCAUUAAAAUCUUACAUGAUCUGAGUUCAAACCGGUGUAAGCCAGGUUGGUUUCUAUCUUUAAAUAAAAAUAAUAUUUUAGUACGAAAGGAUUAAAUAUUAAAAAUAAUUUUAUAAUUAUGAAUGUCAAUAAUUAAUAGUAAAA
Molecule: ribosomal RNA, 1341 nt
Filed under: Meandrusa sciron
Lineage: Eukaryota; Metazoa; Arthropoda; Insecta; Lepidoptera; Papilionidae
Description: 16S ribosomal RNA
Source: RNAcentral